RNAcentral lists this microRNA precursor (91 nucleotides) under Marmota monax (woodchuck). The record is from RNAcentral. Lineage: Eukaryota; Metazoa; Chordata; Mammalia; Rodentia; Sciuridae.
AGUAGAACAUCUUGGUUAAAUGGAAAAUUUCUGAGGAACUGACAGAUUGUUUUCCAAAGUGGUUUUACCAUUUUACAUUUUCAUCAGCAGU